AUUGAACGCUAGCGGGAUGCCUUACACAUGCAAGUCGAACGAGUGGCGGACGGGUGAGUAAUAUAUCGGACCGUGCCCAGUAGCGGGGGAUAACUACUCGAAAGAGUGGCUAAUACCGCAUACUAUUGGAGAGGCCGAUAUCGGAUUAGAUUGUUGGUGGGGGAAGGUCGCACCAAGGCAAAGAUCCGUAGCUGGUUUGAGAGGAAGACCAGCAACACUGGGACUGAGACACGGCCCAGACGCCUACGGUAGGCUGCAUUGGGGAAUAUUGGACAAUGGGGGAAACCCUGAUCCAGCCAUCCCGCGUGUAUGAGAAGGCCUUCGGGUUGUAAAGUACUUUUGGCAGAGAAGCGGUAUCUGCAGAAUAAGCACCGGCUAACUACGUGCCAGCAGCCGCGGUAAUUC
RNAcentral lists this ribosomal RNA (405 nucleotides) under uncultured bacterium. RNAcentral describes it as "partial 16S ribosomal RNA". It matches the Rfam family "Bacterial small subunit ribosomal RNA", at positions 30 to 526 of the family's 1533-position model. The record is from RNAcentral.